Molecule: ribosomal RNA, 425 nt
Filed under: uncultured bacterium
Lineage: Bacteria
Description: partial 16S ribosomal RNA
Rfam family: Bacterial small subunit ribosomal RNA
Source: RNAcentral
GUGGGGAAUCUUGCGCAAUGGGCGAAAGCCUGACGCAGCCAUGCCGCGUGAAUGAUGAAGGUCUUAGGAUUGUAAAAUUCUUUCACCGGGGACGAUAAUGACGGUACCCGGAGAAGAAGCCCCGGCUAACUUCGUGCCAGCAGCCGCGGUAAUACGAAGGGGGCUAGCGUUGCUCGGAAUUACUGGGCGUAAAGGGCGCGUAGGCGGACAGUUUAGUCAGAGGUGAAAGCACAGGGCUCAACCUUGGAAUUGCCUUUGAUACUGGCUGUCUUGAGUACAGGAGAGGUGAGUGGAACUCCGAGUGUAGAGGUAAAAUUCGUAGAUAUUCGGAAGAACAGAAGUAGCGAAAGCGACACACUGGCCCGUUACUGACGCUGAGGCGCGAAAGCGUGGGGAGCAAACAGGAUUAGAAACCCGAGUAGUCC